UCCCUUAACUAUACACUUACCGGUUUUAGUCUCUUAAUUAUAAGCUUACCGAUUUUAGUCCUUUAAAUAUUCAAAAACUUUUCAGGUUUGGUCUUUGUCUAUUUUUUUAAUGCAAAUAACUUAGGUUUAUAUUAACGGAAUUCAUACCCCGAGAAAUUAAAUCCUUUAGCAAUUUUUUCUAUUGUUUCUCUCUCUCCGCUACUUUUCUUCAAAUUAACCUUAUGCGAAGAACCUUAACCUCAACGAUUUAAAA
This 253-nucleotide long non-coding RNA is filed under the name Solanum tuberosum (potato). Its description in RNAcentral is "long non-coding RNA (STUB_LNC002642)". The record is from RNAcentral. Lineage: Eukaryota; Viridiplantae; Streptophyta; Magnoliopsida; Solanales; Solanaceae.